GAUGAACGCUGGCGGCGUGCCUAAUACAUGCAAGUCGAGCGAACAGACGAGGAGCUUGCUCCUCUGACGUUAGCGGCGGACGGGUGAGUAACACGUGGAUAACCUACCUAUAAGACUGGGAUAACUUCGGGAAACCGGAUCUAACACCGGAUAAUAUAUUGAACCGCAUGGUUCAAUAGUGAAAGACGGUUUUGCUGUGACUUAUAGAGGGAUCCGCGCCGCAUUAGCUAGUUGGUAAGGUAACGGCUUACCAAGGCAACGAUGCGUAGCCGACCUGAGAGGGUGAUCGGCCACACUGGAACUGAGACACGGUCCAGACUCCUACGGGAGGCAGCAGUAGGGAAUCUUGCGCAAUGGGCGAAAGCUUGACGGAGCAACGCCGCGUGAGUGAUGAAGGUCUUCGGAUCGUAAAACUCUGUUAUUAGGGAAGAACAAAUGUGUAAGUAACUAUGCACGUCUUGACGGUACCUAAUCAGAAAGCCACGGCUAACUACGUG
This 497-nucleotide ribosomal RNA is filed under the name uncultured bacterium. Its description in RNAcentral is "partial 16S ribosomal RNA". It matches the Rfam family "Bacterial small subunit ribosomal RNA", at positions 28 to 507 of the family's 1533-position model. The record is from RNAcentral.